AAUGCUAGGGUUCCAAGUGGGCCGUUUCUGGUAAGCAGAACUGGCGAUGCGGGAUGAACCGAGAGCCAGGUUAAGGUGCCUAAAUAGACGCCAAAGGACACCACUAAAGGAGUUGGUCGAUGAAGACAGCAGGACGGUGGCCCUGAAAGUAGGAAUCCGCUAAGGAGUGUCUAACAACUCACCUGCCGAAUCGACUGGCCCUGAAGAUGGAUGGCGCUAAAGCGUUUUACCGAUACCUGGCCAUCAGUAUUAGUGUGUGUGAUACAUACUGAUGGGUAGGAGGGCGCAAUGAUAGCGGAGAAGAGUUUAGCGUAAGCUUGCUUGGAGCUGUCAUUGGUGCGGAUCUUGGUGGUAGUAGCAGUUUAUUCAAGUGAAACGCUUGAAGGCCGAAGUGGAGAAGGGUUCCGCGUAAACAUCAUUUGAACGCGGGUUAGUCGGUCCUAAGUGGCAGCUUACGUGCUGAGAUAUAUAAAGGGGAAGUGUAAUGCAUGUUGUGUUUGGAAUUUAACCGUUUYCAAACCGGUGUGUAUUGCUCUCUCAUGCCACGAAAGGGAAUCAGGUUAAUAUUCCUGAACCAAGCAACGGAUAGUUUGUUUUAAUGUCCAAAGUUAAUGUGUGUUGGGCAACUGAUGCAUGUUGCUUAGAUGUUAAGUAAAUGCAGCGGUAACGCAAACGAACUCAGAGACAUCUUAGGCAGUCCUAGGAAGAGUUAUCUUUUCUGUUUAACGAAAUGGCGCCCUGGAAUUGAGUUGUUCAGAGAUAGGGCUGAGAUUUCGGAAGAGCAUCGCACUCAUGGCGAUGUCUGGUGUACUGUCUAAGGUCCUUGAAAAUCUGAGGGAGUGAAUGAUUUUCGUGCUUGGCCGUACCGUAAUCCGCAACAGGUCUCCAAGGUGAAUAGCCUCUGGCACUAGAACAAUGUGGGUAAGGGAAGUCGGCAAGAUAGAUUCGUAACUUCGGGAUAAGGAUUGGCUCUAAGGGUUGGGCUGGUCGGGCUAGUGCGUUUAGACAUAGUGUGUGUACUGUUGAGUUUUGUUUGUAUGCAAGCAAGCGCUAGCAAUGGUUAAUGUGUGUAUGUGAAUGAGGUUUGACGGUAUAUGUGCUGGUUUAAGUGUCUAGCUUGAUAUGAUGCUGAGUAUUGUUUAUUCAGUGCUUAGUGUUGUAUCCUCGCGGCUAGCUAAGAUCAACUGACUUAGAACUGUCACUGACUAGGGGAAUCCGACUGUUUAAUUAAAACAAAGCAUUGCGAUGGCUGGAAACGGUGUUGACGCAAUGUGAUUUCUGCCCAGUGCUCUGAAUGUCAAAGUGUGGAGACACAACCAAGCGCGGGUAAACGGCGGGUGUAACUAUGACUCUCUCAAGAUAGCCAAAUGCCUCGUCAUCUAAUUAGUGACGCGCAUGAAUGGAUUAACGAGAUUCCCACUGUCCCUACCCUCCAUCUAGCGAACCCACAGUCAAGGGAACGGGCUUGACUGAGACAGCGGGGAAAGAAGACCCUGUUGAGCUUGACUCUAGUUUGAUAUGGUUAGGAGACAUGAGAGGUGUAGCAUAGGUGGGAGAUGUGCUAGCUUGCUAGUAUGUCAAUCUUGAAAUACCACCACUUUCAUUGUUUCCUCACUUAAUCGGUGAUAAUGGAAGUGCCCAGUAGAAGUAUUUACAUUAGCAUAUGUGUGUAUAUUGACUUAACCGUUGGUUGCAUACUAUGACGUAGUAUUUAUGGAAGCUGGUGUCACGAAUAUGAAGAUUUGUAAGGCAAAUGGUGCAUGUAUAUCGCGUGACUAUGUAUAUUUAUGUGCAUAAUUGUUGCGUGGUGUUGUGUAUAUAUAGUGUUUGCUGACCCCAACUAGGUCGACGUAGUGAUACGUUGGCAUGUGUGUGACCGAUGACAGUGUCAGAUGGGGAGUUUGGCUGGGGUGGUACACCCUCUAAAAUGCAACGAGGGUGUCCAAAGGUGAGCUCACCGUGGACAGAAACCACGGGUAGAGUAUAAGGGCAAAAGCUCGCUUGAUUUUGAUUUUCAGUAUGAAUACAAACCACGAAAGUGUGGCCUAGCGAUCCUUUAUUAUGACCUGAAAGUUUCAGGAUAGAGGUGUCAGAAAAGUUACCACAGGGAUAACUGGCUUGUGGCUGCCAAGCGAACAUAGCGACGUAGCUUUUUGGUCCUUCGAUGUCGGCUCUUCCUAUCAUUGGGUAGCAGCGUACCCAAAGUGUUGGAUUGUCCACCCAUUAACAGGGAACGUGAGCUGGGUUUAGAC
Molecule: ribosomal RNA, 2252 nt
Filed under: Sphaerospora elwhaiensis
Lineage: Eukaryota; Metazoa; Cnidaria; Myxozoa; Bivalvulida; Sphaerosporidae
Description: eukaryotic LSU rRNA
Rfam family: Eukaryotic large subunit ribosomal RNA
Source: RNAcentral